RNAcentral lists this ribosomal RNA (253 nucleotides) under uncultured bacterium. Its description in RNAcentral is "partial 16S ribosomal RNA". It matches the Rfam family "Bacterial small subunit ribosomal RNA", at positions 524 to 776 of the family's 1533-position model. The record is from RNAcentral.
UACGGGGGGGGCAAGCGUUGUUCGGAAUUACUGGGCGUAAAGGGCUUGUAGGUGGCCAACUAAGUCAGACGUGAAAUCCCUCGGCUUAACCGGGGAACUGCGUCUGAUACUGGAUGGCUUGAGUUUGGGAGAGGGAUGCGGAAUUCCAGGUGUAGCGGUGAAAUGCGUAGAUAUCUGGAGGAACACCGGUGGCGAAGGCGGCAUCCUGGACCAACACUGACACUGAUAAGCGAAAGCCAGGGGAGCAAACGGG